GAAGUAUCCCUCCGUCCGGAAUUACUUGUCGCAUAAACGGAUAAAAAUGGAUGUAUCUAAAACUAAAAUACGUCUAGAUACAUCCAUUUCUCCGACAAGUAUUUCCGGACGGAGGGAGUAGUAC
This is a non-coding RNA of Triticum aestivum (bread wheat), 124 nucleotides long. The record is from Rfam. Lineage: Eukaryota; Viridiplantae; Streptophyta; Magnoliopsida; Poales; Poaceae.